ACGUGAGCAACCUGCCCCUGACUCUGGGAUAAGCGCUGGAAACGGCGUCUAAUACUGGAUAUGUGACGUGAUCGCAUGGUCUGCGUCUGGAAAGAAUUUCGGUUGGGGAUGGGCUCGCGGCCUAUCAGCUUGUUGGUGAGGUAAUGGCUCACCAAGGCGUCGACGGGUAGCCGGCCUGAGAGGGUGACCGGCCACACUGGGACUGAGACACGGCCCAGACUCCUACGGGAGGCAGCAGUGGGGAAUAUUGCACAAUGGGCGCAAGCCUGAUGCAGCAACGCCGCGUGAGGGACGACGGCCUUCGGGUUGUAAACCUCUUUUAGCAGGGAAGAAGCGAAAGUGACGGUACCUGCAGAAAAAGCGCCGGCUAACUACGUGCCAGCAGCCGCGGUAAUACGUAGGGCGCAAGCGUUAUCCGGAAUUAUUGGGCGUAAAGAGCUCGUAGGCGGUUUGUCGCGUCUGCUGUGAAAUCCGGAGGCUCAACCUCCGGCCUGCAGUGGGUACCGGCAGACUAGAGUGCGGUAGGGGAGAUUGGAAUUCCUGGUGUAGCGGUGGAAUGCGCAGAUAUCAGGAGGAACACCGAUGGCGAAGGCAGAUCUCUGGGCCGUAACUGACGCUGAGGAGCGAAAGGGUGGGGAGCAAACAGGCUUAGAUACCCUGGUAGUCCACCCCGUAAACGUUGGGAACUAGUUGUGGGGUCCAUUCCACGGAUUCCGUGACGCAGCUAACGCAUUUAGUUCCCCGCCUGGGGAGUACGGCCGCAAGGCUAAAACUCAAAGGAAUUGACGGGGACCCGCACAAGCGGCGGAGCAUGCGGAUUAAUUCGAUGCAACGCGAAGAACCUUACCAAGGCUUGACAUAUACGAGAACGGGCCAGAAAUGGUCAACUCUUUGGACACUCGUAAACAGGUGGUGCAUGGUUGUCGUCAGCUCGUGUCGUGAGAUGUUGGGUUAAGUCCCGCAACGAGCGCAACCCUCGUUCUAUGUUGCCAGCACGUAAUGGUGGGAACUCAUGGGAUACUGCCGGGGUCAACUCGGAGGAAGGUGGGGAUGACGUCAAAUCAUCAUGCCCCUUAUGUCUUGGGCUUCACGCAUGCUACAAUGGCCGGUACAAAGGGCUGCAAUACCGUGAGGUGGAGCGAAUCCCAAAAAGCCGGUCCCAGUUCGGAUUGAGGUCUGCAACUCGACCUCAUGAAGU
RNAcentral lists this ribosomal RNA (1198 nucleotides) under Microbacterium sp. RNAcentral's name for it is "bacterial SSU rRNA". It matches the Rfam family "Bacterial small subunit ribosomal RNA", at positions 115 to 1326 of the family's 1533-position model. Lineage: Bacteria; Bacillati; Actinomycetota; Actinomycetes; Micrococcales; Microbacteriaceae. The record is from RNAcentral.